Molecule: long non-coding RNA, 1632 nt
Organism: Salvelinus namaycush (lake trout)
Lineage: Eukaryota; Metazoa; Chordata; Actinopteri; Salmoniformes; Salmonidae
Exons: 2
Source: RefSeq, a predicted model, not a curated record
AUGUUGAUGACUUCCGGAGCGAUUUCUGCUAUUGUUUUUAUCAUUAGCUUGCUAGCUAUCUAACUGUUGUCGAUGCAUUUCUGACUGAAAUAGUUCGCAAUGACUACAUUUAAAUUACAGCCCCGCGAAUGAGGUGCUAAUGAACAUUGUUCAGUUUCUUCCAAAUGUAAUGGUAUUGUGAGCUUCCAUGGUUUCCCGGUCGAUGAAGAGCUCAGAGAAAAAGGUGGUUGGUGGCAGUACGUCGUGACAACUUUACUGUCACCUAACACACAAAAGUGUGUAGUACACAUUUCAUCGAGAGUGACUUUGUUGAGGGAAAAAUGGGGGGGGGGGGGUGAUAAUACCUAAAAAGAGGUUUUGUUCCUACAGUCUUCGCGUGGAACUGGAACAUUCAAAAGAGACCAGGUGUUUGGGAAAGAGCACUGAAACCUCCUGCUCCGACUGAGGAGGAUGAAGAACAAGGUGCGCUGCCUAUGGACUUUGCCGUCUCUGAUCAGGUCCAGACACAUGAUUACUGUGCAGUCUCUGAACCCGCAGCCCUUGACAUGGCCCUAAUGGCAAACCAUGAGCAUGUAAAAUAAAUUAAGGAGCUUCGAGCCAAGCUGGAGAAACUGACCGCUCAAAACGGCUUUGGUCUACAGCGAUUUGCUGGUUCUGACGAGGAUAUACAUUUUUACACAAGAUUUGCAAUCUACACCCACCUGAUGGCCUUCUGGCACUUGAUUGAGCGGGCAGCAGAAACCAAGUUUAUAAGUCACACAAGCACCAAUCCAUCUGAAACAAGUGUUACUCGAAGAAAACUGGUAAGGAAGCUUCUGUCUGAAGCAGAAGGAUUUGGCCCAUCGGUUCAGCAUCCACCAAUCGACAGUGAGACGGAUUAUCAUCUCUUGGGCCAACGUCCUCUACUGUCUGUUUGGAUCAGCACGGAUAUGGAAGGAAACCAUCAAAGCCCACCUGCCACCUGAGUUCAAGGACUAUCCAGACACCCAGGUAGUGAUCGACUGCACUAAACUCCGCUGCCACACCAUCUUCACUACUACUGCAGAGUGAGGUGUUUUCUUCCUACAAGUCACACUGUACCUUUAAGGGCAUGUUGGGUAUGUUACCACAUGGAGCUGUCACUUUUGUGUCAUCGUUGUAUGCUGGAUCUGUGAGUGACAAGGAGAUCUUCAAGCAGUCUGGAAUUAUUUCCUUACUCACCCGACAUGGCCAUUAUGGUGGAUAAGGGCUUUCUCGUAGAUGACAUUGUUCCGUGCAAGGUCUACCGGCCAGCCUUUCUGUCAAGACGCACACAGAUGCCAGCGCAUGAGGUUAGGGAGACCCAAUCCAUUGCCAGGCUGAGAGUGCAUGUUGAAAGAAUGAUCUGCAGAGUAAAGGAGCACAAGCUGUUUGACACAGUCAUCCCCCUGACCAUCUCAGGCAGCAUCAACCAAUUAUUUGCAGUGGCGUGUAGUGAAUAUCAAUUUGUGUGGAGCUUGUAUUGGGUUUAAUUAGGCAAUGAGUUUAGGGGUGGGGGAAAGAAAUCAAGUAAACACAGAAUAGCCAGAAUGCAAGAUUGAAUACAAUGUUAGAGAUGUGUAAUUGAUUAACUGAACUGUUGAACAUUUGCUGAAAUACAUUUUUUUAAACAAA